Molecule: ribosomal RNA, 468 nt
Filed under: uncultured bacterium
Lineage: Bacteria
Description: partial 16S ribosomal RNA
Rfam family: Bacterial small subunit ribosomal RNA
Source: RNAcentral
GACGAACGCUGGCGGCGUGCUUAACACAUGCAAGUCGAACGGAAAGGCCCUUCUUUUGUGGGGUGCUCGAGUGGCGAACGGGUGCGUAACACGUGAGUAACCUGCCCUUGACUUUGGUAUAACUUCACGAAACUGGGGCUAAUACCGUAUAGGAUCUCCUGCUGCAUGGUGGGGGUUGGAACGUUUCGGCGGUUGGGGAUGGACUCGCGGCUUAUCAGCUUGUUGGUGGGGUAGUGGCUUACCAAGGCUUUGACGGGUAGCCGGCCUGAGAGGGUGACCGGCCAGAUGGGGGCUAAGGUAGGGCCCAGCGUCAUACGGGGGGCAGCGGGGGGGAAAAUUGAACAGUGGGAGGAAGACGGAGGAGGAAACGCGGCGGGCGGGAUGACGGCCUUGGGGUUGAAAACAGCUUUCGCCUGAGACGAAGCGUGAGUGACGGUAAUGGGUAAAGAAGCACCGGCUAACUACGUG